RNAcentral lists this ribosomal RNA (484 nucleotides) under uncultured bacterium. RNAcentral's name for it is "partial 16S ribosomal RNA". It matches the Rfam family "Bacterial small subunit ribosomal RNA", at positions 30 to 507 of the family's 1533-position model. The record is from RNAcentral.
AUUGAACGCUGGCGGCAGGCCUAACACAUACAAGUCGAGCGGAUGAAGGGAGCUUGCUCCUGGAUUCAGCGGCGGACGGGUGAGUAAUGCCUAGGAAUCUGCCUGGUAGUGGGGGAUAACGACCGGAAACGGGCGCUAAUACCGCAUACGUCCUGAGGGAGAAAGUGGGGGAUCUUCGGACCUCACGCUAUCAGAUGAGCCUAGGUCGGAUUAGCUAGUUGGUGGGGUAAAGGCCUACCAAGGCGACGAUCCGUAACUGGUCUGAGAGGAUGAUCAGUCACACUGGAACUGAGACACGGUCCAGACUCCUACGGGAGGCAGCAGUGGGGAAUAUUGGACAAUGGGCGAAAGCCUGAUCCAGCCAUGCCGCGUGUGUGAAGAAGGUCUUCGGAUUGUAAAGCACUUUAAGUUGGGAGGAAGGGCAGUAAGUUAAUACCUUGCUGUUUUGACGUUACCAACAGAAUAAGCACCGGCUAACUUCGUG